Molecule: long non-coding RNA, 745 nt
Filed under: Homo sapiens (human)
Lineage: Eukaryota; Metazoa; Chordata; Mammalia; Primates; Hominidae
Description: DOCK8 antisense RNA 2
Source: RNAcentral
AUUCUUACUUCAGACACUAGUCCCACUUCUUUGGUUAUCUGUAUUCUGAGUCCACAAAUCAGAGGCAUCCAGUUGAAAAAGCUGAAAGCUUCUAGAAUGGCACUAUCCAAUAUGGUAGCCAGUGGCCCCCUGUGGCUACUGUGCACUUAAAAUGUGGCCAGUCCUAACUGCAACGUGCUGGCUAGGGGUAAGAAUGCAGCAGUGAACAUGGUUCCUGCACUCAUGAAGCAAAUGUAUCCACUGUGGUACAAAAGAGACUGUAAAAAACAAACCCAAAUGGACAACAGAGUUCUGAACCAUCCUGUGACAAGUCUAGUUACCCUAAAGCUGUCAUGCAGGAGAGACCAUGUGGAGAGAAGGAGAGUUAGAGAGAGGAGGAGCCCCUGCUGUUUGAGUAUUCUCAGCCCAGACACCAGACAUGAGUGAGGAAGCAUUCAGACCCCAACUCCAGUUUAAAAACGCCACCACUCAACAGCCUGUUUUCUGAGCCUAUGACCACAUAUAUGCUGCAGAACCCUUUCAGGGUGUAUCUGAAACUACUUCUCUUAAAGGCAAGCUGUAACUGGUGCCAGAAAAGACAGAAGCUGAUUGAGGUCCCAGCUUGGUAACAGUUUGAAGAGUUGCAGGACUGGCUGGAUGAGUACUGGCUGCAGCAAAUCAGGCUGCCAGGAUUCUUUAUGGCUGUUUCUGCUUCCACUACAGCUGAGUCAGAAAGGUCGCUGCCCCGUGGUGGCACUAGACGCAG